This 471-nucleotide ribosomal RNA is filed under the name Pelecyphorus guanajuatensis. Its description in RNAcentral is "eukaryotic LSU rRNA". The record is from RNAcentral. Lineage: Eukaryota; Metazoa; Arthropoda; Insecta; Coleoptera; Tenebrionidae.
AGAGUACGUGAAACCGUUCAGGGGUAAACCUGAGAAACCCGAAAGGUCGAAAGGGGAGAUUCAGCGUGUCUCGAUUGCGGCGCUGGACGGUCGUGCGACGGAAGACGUACGCGUCAUCCGCACCUUCCGUUCUCCGAACCGUAGUCGAACGCGUGCACUUCUCCCCCUGUAGGACGUCGCGAUCCGUUGGGUGCCGGUCUAAGGCCCGCAAUGGAGCCCGUUCGGACGGUUUACCGUUCCGGACGAACUUGCGGUGUUUCCCGGUCGGCUCGCUCGACGGUAUACAGAUGGCGCGGGGCCGCUACACAUUAGUUAGCGUCCGACCGGCGGCAAGCGCGCUCGUCGUGACGGUGAUCGGACCUGGUGCCGGUCCUGUCCCCGAGUGGCUGUUCGCUGCCGUGUUCUCGGACAGACCUCGUCGAAACGCCGAUCUGCGACGCUAUAGCUUUGGGUACUUUCAGGACCCGUCUU